Long non-coding RNA from Neofelis nebulosa (Clouded leopard), 1744 nucleotides. RefSeq lists it as uncharacterized. The record is from RefSeq and is a predicted model, not a curated record. The transcript is spliced from 3 exons. NCBI's taxonomy places the organism in Eukaryota, Metazoa, Chordata, Mammalia, Carnivora, Felidae.
UCUUUCCUUUAUUAGGUAAGGAAAUUGUCACCAAGAAAGGCCCGGUGAUUUGCCCGUCUCACAGUUAGUUAAUGACAGAAACCGAACCUCUGGUCUCGUAAGCUGCAGUCAUGUAUCCCACGUAUUUUUCAAGGGUUCCGACUCCAGGAUCACAACGGACAGAACACCAAGCGGUUCAUAGAGUGUGAUCUCUGCCACUCCGGGAGAGCAUCGCGUUGAAGGUCACUCCUUGUCUUGCUUCUGAAGAUGCCAUUAGGGACUGCUGAUAACUGAUCGCAGGUGCGCCGAGAACCUCUGCAUCGCCUCAUGCGAUUGGUUGACUCCACUUCAAACGUGCUAUAUACAUCGCACCUGUUUCCAGUCCAGCUGAACACGCUUUGCGUUCUCAUUUUUAACGUCUUAGAAGAACAAGCUCGUGGUUACCAUAGCAACUGUCCGGCGGCGACUUCUGCUUGGAGAUGAGAAUGCCAACAACAAUACUGCUUCUUUUUCUUGAUCUAGACUAGCCUUGCGGGUGGGCCCAGGCACGGGUGAUUUUCUCUUAUAAGCUUCUCAGAUGAUAAUGUACGGCCAGUGUUAGGAGAUCUGAUACAGCCUUUUAAAUUCUUAUUAAGACUGGUCUGGCCAAGAGUUCAGCCAGUUCAUUCAAUCUCAUGCCUCCUGUUUCACUUCCGAACUUCCCAUAAGUGCCUACCUGGUGACUUAUUUAAAACCCUCUUCUCAAAGGAAAGGAUCUGGUCCACUCUGGCACAGUAUGUGAUUUCUGGCUUUCCGAGAUCACUCAAGCAGUAAUAUUCACACUCAUGGAAAAAUGAUCAGCUCAGUUCGACCACCCCAAAAGAGGAAAAGAGGCUGGAAUGUAGUCAAAGAAAGCAAGAUCACACAGGGCUGGAAAGUCAGGCCGACAAGUUCAAAGUCAACUCCACAGGCUUUGAGAAAGAGUUCUUGGAGAUUCAAGUACUUUGUUGAUUAACAGAAAAGACAGUACAAAGAGCCAUGAGACCCAGCUUUUGCUUCCAUGGAUCAACAUAUUUCAAUUCAAAAUACUGACUGAGUCCAGGGUAGGGAAUUUAGGAAAGAAUUAUGUACAAACAACCAUCAUUAGAAGAGUUAAAUAGAAAGAGACAAACAUAGGAAUGAUAAGCCAACAGAGGCCCCAGGGAGAAGGUAAUGUGUGAGUUAAGCCUUGAAGAAGUAGGAUCACAUCCUGGGAAUGCUGGGGCACCAUUUUCUUCAGUUUCAUUUGACUCUGGACAUUGUGACUGAAAAUGUGCCCUAAGAAGUCCAUUUUGUCUGGAUGACAUACUUGAAAGGAGAAAACCACAAUGUUCAUUUACUUCACAAAUAAAGACAACAUUCACUUAUUUUCACCGAGUUUGCUAAGCUAUUAACGGACUCAAGAUACUCUUUGAUUCUGACUCGGGCUCAGUGCACUAUUUUUCCCCAUUUAGCCAGCGAUGAUCAUUUCAACUUGCUGUGGACAAGCACGACGCUAGGAGACAGGAACAGACAUGGAAGAACACACAGUAAGACAUGGCCUCUCUGAUCACCGAGUGAGGAAUAAUACGGCUACAGAGAGAGAACUGCAAAACGAUGUAGUAAAUGGCAUCAUGGGAAUGGUCAGGGAUAGCCAUGGGCACAAAGGGUGAUCGACUCUCCCCAGGGAUGUUGGGGAUGGUUCUAAGCGGGGGUAACACCUGAGCCCCUUCUCCAAGGCUGAGAGGAGAUCACCAGGCAGCAAGGA